This 41-nucleotide transfer RNA is filed under the name Eubalaena glacialis (North Atlantic right whale). RNAcentral's name for it is "partial tRNA-Phe". The record is from RNAcentral. Lineage: Eukaryota; Metazoa; Chordata; Mammalia; Artiodactyla; Balaenidae.
GUUAAUGUAGCUUAAAUAUUUGCAAAGCAAGACACUGAAAA